RNAcentral lists this ribosomal RNA (441 nucleotides) under Eulasia nitidicollis. RNAcentral describes it as "partial 16S ribosomal RNA". It matches the Rfam family "Bacterial large subunit ribosomal RNA", at positions 1846 to 2543 of the family's 2925-position model. The record is from RNAcentral. Lineage: Eukaryota; Metazoa; Arthropoda; Insecta; Coleoptera; Glaphyridae.
UUUGAAGUAUAACCUGCCCCCUGAGUUUUUAAAUGGCCGCGGUAAUCUGACCGUGCAAAGGUAGCAUAAUAACUAGUUUUUUAAUUGAUAGCUGGAAUGAAAGGUUGGACGAGGGAAAGACUGUCUCUGUUUAAUUUAAUUAGAAUUUUAUUUUUAAGUAAAAAAGCUUAAAUGAAUUUGAAAGACGAGAAGACCCUAUAGAAUUUUAUAUUAAUUUUAAUGUUGGGAUAUGAGGAAUUUUUGAUUUUAACAUUAUUAGAAAUAUUUUAUUGGGGCGAUAGAAAAAUUAAAGUAACUUUUUUUAAAUUUGACCAUUAAUUUAUGAGUAAAUGAUCCAUUAUUUAUGAUUAUAAGAUUAAAUUACCUUAGGGAUAACAGCGUAAUUCUUUUUAAGAGUUCUUAUCGAAAAAAGGGAUUGCGACCUCGAUGUUGGAUUAAAAU